GACGAACGCUGGCGGCGUGCUUAACACAUGCAAGUCGAACGGAAAGGCCCUGCUUUUGUGGGGUGCUCGAGUGGCGAACGGGUGAGUAACACGUGAGUAACCUGCCCUUGACUUUGGGAUAACUUCAGGAAACUGGGGCUAAUACCGGAUAGGAGCUCCUGCUGCAUGGUGGGGGUGGGAAAGUUUCGGCGGUUGGGGAUGGACUCGCGGCUUAUCAGCUUGUUGGUGGGGUAGUGGCUUACCAAGGCUUUGACGGGUAGCCGGCCUGAGAGGGUGACCGGCCACAUUGGGACUGGGAUACGGCCCAGACUCCUACGGGAGGCAGCAGUGGGGAAUAUUGCACAAUGGGCGGAAGCCUGAUGCAGCAACGCCGCGUGCGGGAUGACGGCCUUCGGGUUGUAAACCGCUUUCGCCUGUGACGAAGCGUGAGUGACGGUAAUGGGUAAAGAAGCACCGGCUAACUACGU
Molecule: ribosomal RNA, 467 nt
Filed under: uncultured bacterium
Lineage: Bacteria
Description: partial 16S ribosomal RNA
Rfam family: Bacterial small subunit ribosomal RNA
Source: RNAcentral